CGAGCGAAGCUUUUCAGUAGUUUACUACAGAAAAUGACUGAGCGGCGAACGGGUGAGUAACGCGUGAGCAAUCUACCUUAGUUACAGGGAUAGCCCGAGGAAACUCGGAUUAAUACCUGAUAUUCUUUAUAUUUCGCAUGAAAUUAAAAGGAAAGGUCAGCCGAACUAAGAUGAGCUCGCGUUCUAUCAGCUAGUUGGUGAGGUAAAAGCUCACCAAGGCUACGACGGAUAGCUGGUCUGAGAGGACGAUCAGCCACACUGGGACUGAGACACGGCCCAGACUCCUACGGGAGGCUGCAGCAGGGAAUAUUAUGCAAUGAACGAAAGUUUGACACAGCGACACCGCGUGUGGGAUGACGGAUCUAGGUUUGUAAACCACUUUCAGGAGGGAAGAAAAUGACGGUACCUCCACAAGAAGCCCCGGCCAACUACGUGCCAGCAGCCGCGGUAAUACGUAGGGGGCGAGCGUUGUCCGGAUUUAUUGGGCGUAAAGAGCUCGUAGGCGGUUCAGCAAGUCGUUCGUGAAAGUUCAGGGCUCAACCCUGAAAUGUCGAUCGAUACUGUUGUGACUAGGAUACGGUAGAGGUGAGUGGAAUUCCGAGUGUAGCGGUGAAAUGCGUAGAUAUUCGGAGGAACACCAAUUGCGAAGGCGGCUCACUGGGCCGCUAUCGACGCUGAGGAGCGAAAGCUAGGGGAGCAAACAGGAUUAGAUACCCUGGUAGUCCUAGCUGUAAACGAUGGAUACUAGACGUAGGAACUGGAUUGACGGUUUCUGUGUCGCAGCUAACGCGUUAAGUAUCCCGCCUGGGGAGUACGGUCGCAAGACUAAAACUCAAAGGAAUUGACGGGACCCCGCACAAGCGGCGGAGCAUGCGGCUUAAUUCGAUGAUACCCGUAGAACCUUACCUGGACUUGACAUAUAGGGUCUAGCUAUAGAGAUAUAGUGU
This 947-nucleotide ribosomal RNA is filed under the name uncultured marine bacterium. RNAcentral describes it as "bacterial SSU rRNA". It matches the Rfam family "Bacterial small subunit ribosomal RNA", at positions 63 to 1014 of the family's 1533-position model. The record is from RNAcentral.